Molecule: transfer RNA, 67 nt
Filed under: Neolema sp. EMHAU-15071012
Lineage: Eukaryota; Metazoa; Arthropoda; Insecta; Coleoptera; Chrysomelidae
Description: tRNA-Phe
Source: RNAcentral
AUUCAAAUAGCUUAAUAUAAAGAGCAUGGUAUUGAAGAUACUAAGGUAAUUUUUUAAUUUUUGAGUA